Molecule: ribosomal RNA, 427 nt
Filed under: uncultured bacterium
Lineage: Bacteria
Description: partial 16S ribosomal RNA
Rfam family: Bacterial small subunit ribosomal RNA
Source: RNAcentral
GUGGGGAAUAUUGGGCAAUGGGGGAAACCCUGACCCAGCGACGCCGCGUGAGGGAAGAAGGCCUUAGGGUCGUAAACCUCUGUUGUGUGGGAAGAAGAGCGUGACGGUACCACACGAGGAAGUCCCGGCUAACUACGUGCCAGCAGCCGCGGUAAUACGUAGGGGACGAGCGUUGUCCGGAUUUACUGGGCGUAAAGGGCGCGUAGGCGGUCAUUUAAGUCAGCUGUGAAAUGGUUUGGCUUAACCGGAUCAUGCGGUUGAAACUGGAUGACUGGAGUGCUGGAGAGGCAAGUGGAAUUCCCAGUGUAGCGGUGAAAUGCGUAGAUAUUAGGAGGAACACCAGUGGCGAAAGCGGCUUUCUGGACGACAACUGACGCUGAGGCGCGAAAGCCAGGGGAGCAAACGGGAUUAGAUACCCCUGUAGUCC